GACGAACGCUGGCGGCGUGCUUAACACAUGCAAGUCGAACGGAAAGGCCUCUUUCGGGGGGUACUCGAGUGGCGAACGGGUGAGUAACACGUGAGUAACCUGCCCUUCACUUUGGGUUAACUUCAGGAAACUGGGGCUAAUACCGGAUAGGAGCUCCUGCUGCAUGGUGGGGGUUGGAAAGUUUCGGCGGUUGGGGGUGGACUCGCGGCGUAUCAGCUUGUUGGUGGGGUAGUGGCUUACCAAGGCGUUGACGGGUAGCCGGCCUGGGAGGGUGACCGGCCACAUUGGGACUGAGAUACGGCCCAGACUCCUACGGGAGGCAGCAGUGGGGAAUAUUGCACAAUGGGUGGAAGCCUGAUGCAGCAACGCCGUGUGCGGGAUGACGGCCUUCGGGUUGUAAACCGCUUUCGCUCAUGACGAAGCUUUGUGUGACGGUAGUGGGUAAAGAAGCACCGGCUAACUACGUG
This 467-nucleotide ribosomal RNA is filed under the name uncultured bacterium. RNAcentral's name for it is "partial 16S ribosomal RNA". It matches the Rfam family "Bacterial small subunit ribosomal RNA", at positions 28 to 507 of the family's 1533-position model. The record is from RNAcentral.